CUGGCGGCGUGCUUAACACAUGCAAGUCGAACGAAGCUAAGGGAGCUUGCUCCCAAAGCUUAGUGGCGGACGGGUGGAGUAAGGCGUGGGUAACCUGCCCUAUAGAGGGGGAUAACGUUCGGAAACGAACGCUAAUACCGCAUAAACCAUAAGGAGCUGCAUGGCUCUGAUGGCAAAGAUUUAUCGCUAUAGGAUGGACCUGCGUUGGAUUAGCUAGUUGGUGAGAUAACAGCUCACCAAGGCGACGAUCCAUAGCCGGCCUGAGAGGGUGAACGGCCACAUUGGGACUGAGACACGGCCCAAACUCCUACGGGAGGCAGCAGUGGGGAAUAUUGCACAAUGGGCGCAAGCCUGAUGCAGCGACGCCGCGUGAAGGAAGAAGGUCUUCGGAUUGUAAACUUCUAUCAGCAGGGAAGAAUAAAUGACGGUACCUGACUAAGAAGCCCCGGCUAACUACGUGCCAGCCGCCGC
This 471-nucleotide ribosomal RNA is filed under the name uncultured bacterium. Its description in RNAcentral is "bacterial SSU rRNA". It matches the Rfam family "Bacterial small subunit ribosomal RNA", at positions 36 to 518 of the family's 1533-position model. The record is from RNAcentral.